GGGUUGUGAGGUUAAGCGACUAAGCGUACACGGUGGAUGCCCUGGCAGUCAGAGGCGAUGAAGGACGUGCUAAUCUGCGAAAAGCGUCGGUAAGGUGAUAUGAACCGUUAUAACCGGCGAUGUCCGAAUGGGGAAACCCAGUGUGAUUCGUCACACUAUCGUUAACUGAAUACAUAGGUUAACGAGGCGAACCGGGGGAACUGAAACAUCUAAGUACCCCGAGGAAAAGAAAUCAACCGAGAUUCCCCCAGUAGCGGCGAGCGAACGGGGAGCAGCCCAGAGUCUGAAUCAGCUUGUGUGUUAGUGGAACGGUCUGGAAAGUCCGACGGUACAGGGUGAUAGUCCCGUACACCAAAAUGCACAGGCUGUGAACUCGAAGAGUAGGGCGGGACACGUGGUAUCCUGUCUGAAUAUGGGGGGACCAUCCUCCAAGGCUAAAUACUCCUGACUGACCGAUAGUGAACCAGUACCGUGAGGGAAAGGCGAAAAGAACCCCGGCGAGGGGAGUGAAAAAGAACCUGAAACCGUGUACGUACAAGCAGUGGGAGCACCUUCGGGUGUGACUGCGUACCUUUUGUAUAAUGGGUCAGCGACUUAUAUUCUGUAGCAAGGUUAACCGUAUAGGGGAGCCGCAGGGAAACCGAGUCUUAACUGGGCGUUAAGUUGCAGGGUAUAGACCCGAAACCCGGUGAUCUAGCCAUGGGCAGGUUGAAGGUUGGGUAACACUAACUGGAGGACCGAACCGACUAAUGUUGAAAAAUUAGCGGAUGACUUGUGGCUGGGGGUGAAAGGCCAAUCAAACCGGGAGAUAGCUGGUUCUCCCCGAAAGCUAUUUAGGUAGCGCCUCGUGAACUCAUCUUCGGGGGUAGAGCACUGUUUCGGCUAGGGGGUCAUCCCGACUUACCAACCCGAUGCAAACUACGAAUACCGAAGAAUGUUAUCACGGGAGACACACGGCGGGUGCUAACGUCCGUCGUGAAGAGGGAAACAACCCAGACCGCCAGCUAAGGUCCCAAAGUCAUGGUUAAGUGGGAAACGAUGUGGGAAGGCACAGACAGCCAGGAUGUUGGCUUAGAAGCAGCCAUCAUUUAAAGAAAGCGUAAUAGCUCACUGGUCGAGUCGGCCUGCGCGGAAGAUGUAACGGGGCUAAACCAUGCACCGAAGCUGCGGCAGCGACACUAUGUGUUGUUGGGUAGGGGAGCGUUCUGUAAGCCUGCGAAGGUGUGCUGUGAGGCAUGCUGGAGGUAUCAGAAGUGCGAAUGCUGACAUAAGUAACGAUAAAGCGGGUGAAAAGCCCGCUCGCCGGAAGACCAAGGGUUCCUGUCCAACGUUAAUCGGGGCAGGGUGAGUCGACCCCUAAGGCGAGGCCGAAAGGCGUAGUCGAUGGGAAACAGGUUAAUAUUCCUGUACUUGGUGUUACUGCGAAGGGGGGACGGAGAAGGCUAUGUUAGCCGGGCGACGGUUGUCCCGGUUUAAGCAUGUAGGCUGGUUAUCCAGGCAAAUCCGGAUAAUCAAGGCUGAGGUGUGAUGACGAGGCACUACGGUGCUGAAGUAACAAAUGCCCUGCUUCCAGGAAAAGCCUCUAAGCAUCAGGUAACAUCAAAUCGUACCCCAAACCGACACAGGUGGUCAGGUAGAGAAUACCAAGGCGCUUGAGAGAACUCGGGUGAAGGAACUAGGCAAAAUGGUGCCGUAACUUCGGGAGAAGGCACGCUGGUGUGUAGGUGAAGUCCCUGCGGAUGGAGCUGAGACCAGUCGAAGAUACCAGCUGGCUGCAACUGUUUAUUAAAAACACAGCACUGUGCAAACACGAAAGUGGACGUAUACGGUGUGACGCCUGCCCGGUGCCGGAAGGUUAAUUGAUGGGGUUAUCCGUAAGGAGAAGCUCUUGAUCGAAGCCCCGGUAAACGGCGGCCGUAACUAUAACGGUCCUAAGGUAGCGAAAUUCCUUGUCGGGUAAGUUCCGACCUGCACGAAUGGCGUAAUGAUGGCCAGGCUGUCUCCACCCGAGACUCAGUGAAAUUGAACUCGCUGUGAAGAUGCAGUGUACCCGCGGCAAGACGGAAAGACCCCGUGAACCUUUACUAUAGCUUGACACUGAACAUUGAGCCUUGAUGUGUAGGAUAGGUGGGAGGCUUUGAAGCGUGGACGCCAGUCUGCGUGGAGCCAACCUUGAAAUACCACCCUUUAAUGUUUGAUGUUCUAACGUUGGCCCCUGACCGGGGUUGCGGACAGUGUCUGGUGGGUAGUUUGACUGGGGCGGUCUCCUCCCAAAGCGUAACGGAGGAGCACGAAGGUUAGCUAAUCCUGGUCGGACAUCAGGAGGUUAGUGCAAUGGCAUAAGCUAGCUUGACUGCGAGCGUGACGGCGCGAGCAGGUGCGAAAGCAGGUCAUAGUGAUCCGGUGGUUCUGAAUGGAAGGGCCAUCGCUCAACGGAUAAAAGGUACUCCGGGGAUAACAGGCUGAUACCGCCCAAGAGUUCAUAUCGACGGCGGUGUUUGGCACCUCGAUGUCGGCUCAUCACAUCCUGGGGCUGAAGUAGGUCCCAAGGGUAUGGCUGUUCGCCAUUUAAAGUGGUACGCGAGCUGGGUUUAGAACGUCGUGAGACAGUUCGGUCCCUAUCUGCCGUGGGCGCUGGAGAAUUGAGGGGGGCUGCUCCUAGUACGAGAGGACCGGAGUGGACGCAUCACUGGUGUUCGGGUUGUCAUGCCAAUGGCACUGCCCGGUAGCUAAAUGCGGAAGAGAUAAGUGCUGAAAGCAUCUAAGCACGAAACUUGCCCCGAGAUGAGUUCUCCCUGAGACUUUAAGUCUCCUGAAGGAACGUU
Molecule: ribosomal RNA, 2825 nt
Filed under: Klebsiella pneumoniae
Lineage: Bacteria; Pseudomonadati; Pseudomonadota; Gammaproteobacteria; Enterobacterales; Enterobacteriaceae
Description: partial 23S ribosomal RNA
Rfam family: Bacterial large subunit ribosomal RNA
Source: RNAcentral